RNAcentral lists this ribosomal RNA (293 nucleotides) under uncultured Psychrobacter sp. RNAcentral describes it as "partial 16S ribosomal RNA". Lineage: Bacteria; Pseudomonadati; Pseudomonadota; Gammaproteobacteria; Moraxellales; Moraxellaceae. The record is from RNAcentral.
CCUACUCCCCUGGUGUCGCUUCGCCCCUCCCCAACGACCNCCGGGCCCGCGGUUACCGAACCCUCAGUAGUUACGGAACCGCGUCGGGCGGCGAGGUACCUUAAACACAUGACAAGGUCGAGGACCGGAAAGAUGAUAGUCUUGCUAUCGAGGCGCGAGCGGCGGAGGNGAUAUAGUAGAUCUACUAGUGGGAGGANUCGGAACGGACAUAAUUACGCCNUAGACACGGAGGAAGGAGGGCAACUUGUUGCUCUCGCUAUUAGAUGAGCCUAAGUCGGAUUAGCUAGAUGGUG